UGGGGAAUAUUGCACAAUGGGCGCAAGCCUGAUGCAGCCAUCCCGCGUGUGCGAUGAAGGCCUUCGGGUUGUAAAGCACUUUUGGCAGGAAAGAAACGUCGCGGGUUAAUACCCCGCGAAACUGACGGUACCUGCAGAAUAAGCACCGGCUAACUACGUGCCAGCAGCCGCGGUAAUACGUAGGGUGCAAGCGUUAAUCGGAAUUACUGGGCGUAAAGCGUGCGCAGGCGGUUCGGAAAGAAAGAUGUGAAAUCCCAGAGCUUAACUUUGGAACUGCAUUUUUAACUACCGGGCUAGAGUGUGUCAGAGGGAGGUGGAAUUCCGCGUGUAGCAGUGAAAUGCGUAGAUAUGCGGAGGAACACCGAUGGCGAAGGCAGCCUCCUGGGAUAACACUGACGCUCAUGCACGAAAGCGUGGGGAGCAAACAGGAUUAGAUACCCUGGUAGUCCACGCCCUAAACGAUGUCAACUAGCUGUUGGGGCCUUCGGGCCUUGGUAGCGCAGCUAACGCGUGAAGUUGACCGCCUGGGGAGUACGGUCGCAAGAUUAAACUCAAAGGAAUUGACGGGGUCAUAGCUGUUUCCUG
RNAcentral lists this ribosomal RNA (585 nucleotides) under uncultured bacterium. RNAcentral describes it as "partial 16S ribosomal RNA". It matches the Rfam family "Bacterial small subunit ribosomal RNA", at positions 355 to 1376 of the family's 1533-position model. The record is from RNAcentral.